GACGAACGCUGGCGGCGUGCUUAACACAUGCAAGUCGAACGGAAAGGCCCUGCUUUUGUGGGUUGCUCGAGUGGCGAACGGGUGAGUAACACGUGAGUAACCUGCCCUUGACUUUGGGAUAACUUCAGGAAACUGGGGCUAAUACCGGAUAGGAGCUCCUGCUGCAUGGUGGGGGUUGGAAGGUUUCGGAGGUUGGGGAUGGACUCGCGGCUUAUCAGCUUGUUGGUGGGGUAGUGGCUUACCAAGGCUUUGACGGGUAGCCGGCCUGAGAGGGUGACCGGCCACAUUGGGAAUGAGAUACGGCACAGAGUCCUACGGGAGGCAGCAGUGGGGAAUAUUGCACAAUGGGCGGAAGCCUGAUGCAGCAACGCCGCGUGCGGGAUGACGGCCUUCGGGUUGUAAACCGCUUUCGCCUGUGACGAAGCGUGAGUGACGGUAAUGGGUAAAGAAGCACCGGCUAACUACGUG
Molecule: ribosomal RNA, 468 nt
Filed under: uncultured bacterium
Lineage: Bacteria
Description: partial 16S ribosomal RNA
Rfam family: Bacterial small subunit ribosomal RNA
Source: RNAcentral